RNAcentral lists this ribosomal RNA (301 nucleotides) under uncultured bacterium. RNAcentral describes it as "partial 16S ribosomal RNA". It matches the Rfam family "Bacterial small subunit ribosomal RNA", at positions 509 to 807 of the family's 1533-position model. The record is from RNAcentral.
CAGCAGCCGCGGUAAUACGGAGGGAGCUAGCGUUGUUCGGAAUUACUGGGCGUAAAGCGCACGUAGGCGGCUUUGUAAGUUAGAGGUGAAAGCCUGGAGCUCAACUCCAGAAUUGCCUUUAAGACUGCAUCGCUUGAAUCCAGGAGAGGUGAGUGGAAUUCCGAGUGUAGAGGUGAAAUUCGUAGAUAUUCGGAAGAACACCAGUGGCGAAGGCGGCUCACUGGACUGGUAUUGACGCUGAGGUGCGAAAGCGUGGGGGGCAAACAGGAUUAGAGACCCCGGUAGUCCCUGUCUCUUAUAC